AGGAAAGAGGCCUGGAUUUAGGAGGUGAGAAUCAUGCUUUCCUCCCCCUAAAUCUGAUGCCUGAGUGAGCUUUGCAGCAUGACAGACAGAGCCUGAAAUUCUUUGCUGAGGGCCAACUCAAGGUGUUAGAAGAUCUUCCUCCUAUGUAUCCCAAUUCAGAAAAGAUUAUACAUUUUCCUGAAACUCUGGUUAACAAGUAUUGAUCUAAAAGACUUCAUGUUUCUGUAGAGUGCUGGUGUGGUUACUCAAGCAAGUAAGAUUGUUCCUCAGUCGAUAGUGCCUGCCGCUGCCAUAUGUGUGUCAACAUGUGCUGGCUGCUGAAAGUGGCUCUUCCUGAUGUUCCCAUUUGAUCAUGAAACCCUAUUAUGGCCGCUCACUCUACCACUCCAUAAUGUUUAAUAUGUCUUGCUAACCUAAGACCGUGAAAUUAUUGCUAAGAAUUAUCAUGUUGUGGCUGAGCAGAGUCCUUAAAGGGCAGUACUGCCAGGCUAGAGUGCUCACUGUUCUUUUUACCUGGAAUUUUCCUUGGGGCUUAGAAAGGAGUCUAAAUAUGUGAAAGUCUUCCUCUUAGAAUUGAUACUGUUAACAUACAACUCAGAAGUAUCAGAAGAAGGUGAGAAAUCUCUCCUCCUUGCACAGCCUGGGUUGGCUGGAUCAUCAUUACCAGGCUUGAUACCUGGCUUACACAGCCCACAGAGGAAUGCCAACAACCAAAGGACCUGUGGAGUGGAGGAAGAGCUGGUACAAAUGACUGGUUGGUUGCUGCCAAAAGAAUUGGAGGGAAGAAAGUGAUGAGAGCUGCUUGGGGUAAUGUACAAGUUGCUUGGUCCACCUGGACAGUCAAGUCAAGUGGGGCCUUCAACUUGGGUGUUUUACCAAGGAAUUCAUGGGCCUACUCUUGCUCUUCCCUGCAUGCCUAGCUUUUUGAUUCUGAAACCAUAUCUGAAUUCUGGAUUCUGAAAUUCCUCUGUAGUCCAAUUCUUCUGUAGUAGCAAUUCGAGGAAAUCAAUUAUUCUUAAAGGUUUGAAAGAUACUGGUUUGUGACUUACUGAUAGGUGUUUGCUUUUGUUUGGCUUCUUGGCAAUGUUCU
RNAcentral lists this long non-coding RNA (1090 nucleotides) under Macaca mulatta (Rhesus monkey). RNAcentral describes it as "lncRNA (ENSMMUG00000062139.1)". Lineage: Eukaryota; Metazoa; Chordata; Mammalia; Primates; Cercopithecidae. The record is from RNAcentral.